This 314-nucleotide ribosomal RNA is filed under the name uncultured eukaryote. RNAcentral's name for it is "partial 18S ribosomal RNA". It matches the Rfam family "Eukaryotic small subunit ribosomal RNA", at positions 1470 to 1796 of the family's 1831-position model. The record is from RNAcentral.
CCCUUAGAUGUUCUGGGCCGCACGCGCGCUACAAUGGCAGACUCAGCGAGUUACCUCUGUCGAAAGGCACAGGGAAUCUUUACAGUAUCUGCCGUGAUGGGGAUAGACCCUUGUAAUUUUUGGUCUUCAACGAGGAAUUCCUAGUAAACGCAAGUCAUUAACUUGCAUUGAUUACGUCCCUGCCCUUUGUACACACCGCCCGUCGCGCCUACCGAUUGAAUGGUCCGGUGAAGUCCUCGGACCCAGUUGAACCUCGAGUUGAACAGGGAAAGUUGACUAAAUCUUACCAUUUAGAGGAAGGUGAAGUCGUAACA